CCUACGGGUGGCAGCAGUGGGGAAUAUUGCACAAUGGUGGAAACCCUGAUGCAGCGACGCCGCGUGAGUGAAGAAGUAUCUCGGUACGUAAAGCUCUAUCAGCAGGGAAGAAAAUUACGGUACCUAACUAAGAAGCCACGUCGAACUACGUGCCGGCAGGCGCGGUAAUACGGAGGGGGCAAGGGUUAUCCGGAUUUACUGGGCGUAAAGGGAGCGUAGACGGGAGCACAAGUCUGGAGUGAAAUCCCGGGGCUUAACCCCGGAACUGCAUUGGAAACUGUGAGGCUGGAGUGCAGGAGGGGUAAGCGGAAUUCCUAGUGUAGCGGUGAAAUGCGUAGAUAUUAGGAGGAACACCGGUGGCGAAGGCGGCUUACUGGACUGUAACUGACGUUGAGGCUCGAAAGCGUGGGGAGCAAACAGGAUUAGAUACCCUUGUAGUC
RNAcentral lists this ribosomal RNA (440 nucleotides) under uncultured bacterium. RNAcentral describes it as "partial 16S ribosomal RNA". It matches the Rfam family "Bacterial small subunit ribosomal RNA", at positions 338 to 795 of the family's 1533-position model. The record is from RNAcentral.